RNAcentral lists this transfer RNA (72 nucleotides) under Bos taurus (domestic cattle). It matches the Rfam family "tRNA". Rfam says of the family: Transfer RNA (tRNA) molecules are approximately 80 nucleotides in length. Their secondary structure includes four short double-helical elements and three loops (D, anti-codon, and T loops). The record is from Rfam by way of RNAcentral. Lineage: Eukaryota; Metazoa; Chordata; Mammalia; Artiodactyla; Bovidae. RNAcentral also lists the same sequence under 5 other names.
UCCCUGGUGGUCCAGUGGUUAAGACUCAGUCUUUCACUGCUGCAGACCUGGGUUCGAUCCCUGGCCAGGGAA